GUCUGCAGCCAUACCACCCUGAACACACCAGUUUAUCCGAUCUUGGAAGCUAAGGAGGGCCAGGCUUGGUUAGUACUUUGAUGGGAUGUAUGCACCAAGUGCUAGAGGUG
Molecule: ribosomal RNA, 110 nt
Organism: Chinchilla lanigera (long-tailed chinchilla)
Lineage: Eukaryota; Metazoa; Chordata; Mammalia; Rodentia; Chinchillidae
Source: Ensembl